AAUGGGGGCAACCCUGAUCCAGCCAUGCCGCGUGAGUGAAGAAGGCCUUCGGGUUGUAAAGCUCUUUCGGCCGGAAAGAAAUCGUGCAGGCUAAUACCCUGUAUGGAUGACGGUACCGGAAGAAGAAGCACCGGCUAACUACGUGCCAGCAGCCGCGGUAAUACGUAGGGGGCGAGCGUUAAUCGGAAUUACUGGGCGUAAAGCGUGCGCAGGCGGCUUUUAAGUCAGAUGUGAAAUCCCCGGGCUUAACCUGGGAACUGCAUUUGGAACUGGAAGGCUAGAGUGUAGCAGAGGGGGGUAGAAUUCCACGUGUAGCAGUGAAAUGCGUAGAUAUGUGGAGGAACACCGAUGGCGAAGGCAGCCCCCUGGGCCGAUACUGACGCUCAUGCACGAAAGCGUGGGUAGCAAA
This 409-nucleotide ribosomal RNA is filed under the name uncultured bacterium. RNAcentral's name for it is "bacterial SSU rRNA". It matches the Rfam family "Bacterial small subunit ribosomal RNA", at positions 370 to 772 of the family's 1533-position model. The record is from RNAcentral.